RNAcentral lists this long non-coding RNA (492 nucleotides) under Bos indicus x Bos taurus (hybrid cattle). RNAcentral describes it as "lncRNA (ENSBIXG00005023952.1)". The record is from RNAcentral. Lineage: Eukaryota; Metazoa; Chordata; Mammalia; Artiodactyla; Bovidae.
CUCCAAUAGCUCUUGGUCCAGGGGGGCCAUGAUAACAAGGCAUGUGGAAUGCUGUGUGCGAGACAGGGAGAGCACUAUACGGACAAAGCCAAGAGACCCCGAACAGAAGAGGCUCCUGGUGCAGCUAGUGGCUGAGCUGGUGCUUCAAGGACACAUAUGGUCUUCGGGCAAAUUCUACACCUGUCUGCAUGGAGUCUGCAGACCUCUGUUUGGAAGGAGGAACCAGAGGAAACUACUGGAGAAAUACCAUGGCUGGGUUUGGUGUUUCAGGAUUAUCUUCCUGGCUUCUGUGUGCAGUGUAUUCAGAAGAUGAAAAACAUUACUGGUUACACAGUGCCAAGGCUAAAGGCUGAGUGCAGCGCUGAAGGAAAGUGGUGCCAGAGGCCAGUCGAGGGGACCCGUGGCCUGGGACAGCGAGAAGUGGACCACGUGAGAGGGAUGGAUGACAGGGUUGGAGAGCUGGAGAAAACAGGGAAAGACUUCAGGUAAGGG